RNAcentral lists this long non-coding RNA (503 nucleotides) under Octopus vulgaris (common octopus). Lineage: Eukaryota; Metazoa; Mollusca; Cephalopoda; Octopoda; Octopodidae. The record is from RNAcentral.
UAUAUAUAUAUAUAUAUAUAUAUAUAUAUGUGGGUGUAUUUUAAACACAGAUUUUGGUCGCUAUUUGAGUUUCAUGCCCUGCGAUCUUUUGGACAAUGCUCUGAAAGAUUGCAGAUAGUGGAAGACAUGAAUAACAAUUGAAAUCUUAGUUUAAAUAAAAACAUACAUAAACUAUACACCACAUGUAUUUAGUGCUCUUUUCUUUCUUUUACAAAUGAUAACACACAUACACACACACAUAUAUCUGUAUCUCUCUGAGAAUCUGAAUCGAAACUACAAAGUAUAAAAAUGAAAAAGAAACAAAAAAAAAAAAAGCAAACAGUUUUAAUUAAAAAAUGUUGUAAAGUUUUAAAAAGCCAGAAAAGAAAACAUUAUCUUAAGCGAUUUAGAGUUUGUUGGCCAUGGCAAUGUACACACUUUUCUUUGGUUGUUGAUGUUUUUUAUUUUUUAUGUAAUAAAUGUCUGCAAUAAUUGUUAACAUAAUGAGAUAAUGUGACUUAGCC